Non-coding RNA from Pangasianodon gigas (Mekong giant catfish), 78 nucleotides. Lineage: Eukaryota; Metazoa; Chordata; Actinopteri; Siluriformes; Pangasiidae. The record is from the annotation of a GenBank genome assembly.
CCCUGGAGGACUAGUGGUUAGGCCUCGGUGCUCUCACCCCCACGGCCUGGGUUCAAUUCCUGACCCCAGCCACUGGGG